AUUGAACGCUGGCGGCAGGCCUAACACAUGCAAGUCGAGCGGAUGAAGGGAGCUUGCUCCUGGAUUCAGCGGCGGGCGGGUGAGUAAUGCCUAGGAAUCUGCCUGGUAGUGGGGGAUAACGUCCGGAAACGGGCGCUAAUACCGCAUACGUCCUGAGGGAGAAAGUGGGGGAUCUUCGGACCUCACGCUAUCAGAUGAGCCUAGGUCGGAUUAGCUAGUUGGUGGGGUAAAGGCCUACCAAGGCGACGAUCCGUAACUGGUCUGAGAGGAUGAUCAGUCACACUGGAACUGAGACACGGUCCAGACUCCUACGGGAGGCAGCAGUGGGGAAUAUUGGACAAUGGGCGAAAGCCUGAUCCAGCCAUGCCGCGUGUAUGAAGAAGGUCUUCGGAUUGUAAAGCACUUUAAGUUGGGAGGAAGGGCAGUAAGUUAAUACCUUGCUGUUUUGACGUUACCAACAGAAUAAGCACCGGCUAACUUCGUG
Molecule: ribosomal RNA, 484 nt
Filed under: uncultured bacterium
Lineage: Bacteria
Description: partial 16S ribosomal RNA
Rfam family: Bacterial small subunit ribosomal RNA
Source: RNAcentral